This is a long non-coding RNA of Vespula pensylvanica (western yellowjacket), 2242 nucleotides long. RefSeq lists it as uncharacterized. The record is from RefSeq and is a predicted model, not a curated record. NCBI's taxonomy places the organism in Eukaryota, Metazoa, Arthropoda, Insecta, Hymenoptera, Vespidae. The transcript is spliced from 3 exons.
AGGAGAACUUUAUCGUCGACGUUGCUGACAGCAAGUCGUUCGCGCGAUUUCCAUCUAACCAAGUAGAGAACCGCGAAGAUGGAGAGAGGCUGAAAGAGGAGAGAAGAGAGAUAAGAUGAGAAGAAGGAAAGGGAGAAGUACGGAGGGAUUUCGAGAACGAGAAAACGUUUUCCAGUAUCCCGACUAUGUCUCUUAAGCAAAACGAGAUGUCUUAAUCGUCGUGACUGAAUAAUCGUCGAUAUAGAAUACGCUUCUUGAUCCUAAAAAUUAUACCGAGAUAAAAGAAGAACAAGCGAAGAAAAAGAAGAAGAAGAAGAUGAAAAAGAAAUAAGAGAAAAUAAAGGGUAAACAAAAGAGAGAAGGUUAGAGAAAGAUCUUGGCACGAACGGUAGGGAUCAGAGGGAAAUGAGAAAAAAGAAUUUUACGAAUGUGUACCGUGCGAUGCAAUGAAGUCUCCAUUGGUAUUCGAGGGUGAGUAAAAGAGGGUGAGACCCUACGAGAAAGAUCUGCGUCUCCAACGGUGCAGUUUAUGUGGACACUGAUUUGAAGCGAACGCUAGAAAAUUUGACAUUCCCGCCAGCUUUUCGGGCCACUGUUGGAUUACGGUAGCGCACACUUACGUAAAGGCCGUCCCCAAGGAAUGGGACUAUCCCUCUGUCAUGGUACUUCGUAGAAAAGAAGAAAGAGUCGGGCGAGUCCUGGAAUAUGUAAGCGAAGCUCUACGAAGAAGUCGCAGUGAAUUUUUAGACGCAGUUGAGUUUGUCUACGAGAUUUUAUUCCUCUCUUUCUACCUUUUUCUCUGCUUCUAUCCAGGGAAAAUGAUUUUCAAAAUUGCAAUGCGUCCAUUGAGGAUUACGUGCCCGUGCUUUAAAGUAAAGUAUUUUUCGCAAGAUCAUCGCGAAAUGGACCAAUGAUUCGACCCAGAUAUAAAUCUGUGUAACACGUUAAUAAAGAUACAAGGAACGAGAGAAAUGAUUAAAAAUCGAGACGAAAGGAGAGUGAGGCCACCAUCGACGAGCAUGUUUACAAGUGGUUCUCAACAAUUCACCUCAACGAGCAAAGAAAGAAAGAGAAAAGAAGUAUAAAAGCAAGUGAAGCGAAUUUCUAUACUGUUAUCGAAUCUUUGGAAAGAGAGUCAUAUUUAAAAAUAAUGGCUUCUUCUUUGCAGUGUUUUUAGUCCAACAUCCAACUUACCGAUCGAAAGAACGAAGAAUGAUUCGUUUUGCAAGAACGAACAAUAGGAACAUAUAACUUGGAUAAGAACAUAUAUUCAUAUUUGAUAAUUUAAAAGAGAAUCAAGCAACGAAGAAGAACGAUCUGUUUCAAAAAGGAUGGUGUGGAGCGAAUCAAAUGGAAAGAAUGAAUCAGAGAGAAAAACGAUACGAGACGAAGUGAUAGAAUCAAAUGAUAGAAAAAGUAAAAUAGUCUGACUGCUUCAACUCGACUCUUGGAAAGUUCUUCGUACAAGUACUGCAUCGCGUACAUACUUCUCGUCAUACUUUUUCUACCUCUGUUUUCUACUCAGCUAUGGUAGUAGCGUACGACCAUCGUCUAAGCGAGGAAAUUGAUUCGUGUUCUGUACUUUACAUGAUUAUGACGACACUCGAAUAUAAAUCGUUAACGACCACGACGUCUAGAUUGCGUCUACUCGAGUCUCUCGUCAAUUUGAAAAAAAUAUCGGAGAAAGUAUACGAUGAAUAAAUUUAAUUACAUUCUGAAGAUAUCGCACUAAGGAAAGAACCGUUUAUGCGAAACGAAUAUCUUCUUAUUCUGUACAGAAAAAAAACAUGUAAUUUCGUAAAAAAGCAUUUUUGUGCUAAAUUUUGUAGAAAAAGAAGUAGAUAUAUUUACUUGUAAUUGAUUUAACAUAUAAUAGAAAAAAAACGUUCAAACAUAAAUAAAAAUAUAAUAGUCGAUAAACUGUUAAUGUCUUGGACAAGAAUCCAACAAAAAUCUGUAAAGUACAUGAAAAAAGAAAUAAAAAGUUCCGGAAAAUAUCCCUAGUAUAGAAAGCUCAACAAACUAGCACACUAACCUAUAUAAUUUCUUGGAAAGACAACCGUGCUAUAGCGAGAAACAAAUAGACAAAAAAAACUGUCUAUGCUUCGUGAGCCCCCCAUAUAUGGAUAUCGCACUCUCACCUAUAUAAAUUCCGGGAAUAAGUCUCAGCGAAGUGAGCAAGUAGAAAAAACUAACUUUUUCUUCUUCCUCGAUGCGUGUAACUAAACUCGUUUUCCUACUG